UGCUGUAGCUCAGCCGGUAGAGCGUCGCCUUGGUAAGGCGGAGGUCGGGAGUUCAAGUCUCCUCGGC
Molecule: transfer RNA, 67 nt
Filed under: uncultured Anaerobutyricum sp.
Lineage: Bacteria; Bacillati; Bacillota; Clostridia; Lachnospirales; Lachnospiraceae
Rfam family: tRNA
About the family: Transfer RNA (tRNA) molecules are approximately 80 nucleotides in length.
Source: RNAcentral